Molecule: ribosomal RNA, 497 nt
Filed under: uncultured bacterium
Lineage: Bacteria
Description: partial 16S ribosomal RNA
Rfam family: Bacterial small subunit ribosomal RNA
Source: RNAcentral
GAUGAACGCUGGCGGCGUGCCUAAUACAUGCAAGUCGAGCGAACGGACGAGAAGCUUGCUUCUCUGAUGUUAGCGGCGGACUGGUGAGUAACACGUGGAUAACCUACCUAUAAGACUGGGAUAACUUCGGGAAACCGUAGCUAAUACCGGAUAAUAUUUUGAACCGCAUGGUUCAAAAGUGAAAGACGGUCUUGCUGUCACUUAUAGAUGGAUCCGCUCUGCAUUAGCUAGUUGGUAAGGUAACGGCUUACCAAGGCAACGAUGCAUAGCCGACCUGAGAGGGUGAUCGGCCACACUGGAACUGAGACACGGUCCAGACUCCUACGGGAGGCAGCAGUAGGGAAUCUUCCGCAAUGGGCGAAAGCCUGACGGAGCAACGCCGCGUGAGUGAUGAAGGUCUUCGGAUCGUAAAACUCUGUUAUUAGGGAAGAACAUAUGUGUAAGUAACUGUGCACAUCUUGACGGUACCUAAUCAGAAAGCCACGGCUAACUACGUG